UUAUACACAUUCGCUCGAUGAGCGGAUCAAAAACUUCACACCAUAAUGCGAAUCCUAUUUCACAAUCCCUUUUGAAGAUAGAAGUUGGAUACAUUUCUCAGAAUGAUAUUCAUGCUGAUAUUAUUCUUGGUUGAUUCUUAUACUGACUCCAGCGACUGACAAAAUCUCAGUCACACUAUAUCUUUAAAUCGAUCCAGGCAACGAGCUUAAUUUGAUGAAUGCGAUGUUUAAGAUCAUCUAAUAGAACCUCAGAUGAC
This 257-nucleotide long non-coding RNA is filed under the name Gossypium barbadense (sea-island cotton). Its description in RNAcentral is "long non-coding RNA (GBAR_LNC006766)". The record is from RNAcentral. Lineage: Eukaryota; Viridiplantae; Streptophyta; Magnoliopsida; Malvales; Malvaceae.